Molecule: ribosomal RNA, 449 nt
Filed under: uncultured bacterium
Lineage: Bacteria
Description: bacterial SSU rRNA
Rfam family: Bacterial small subunit ribosomal RNA
Source: RNAcentral
GCCAGACUCCUACGGGAGGCAGCAGUGGGGAAUAUUGGGCAAUGGGCGCAAGCCUGACCCAGCAACGCCGCGUGAAGGAAGAAGGCUUUCGGGUUGUAAACUUCUUUUAUGAGGGACGAAAGAAAUGACGGUACCCCAUGAAUAAGCCACGGCUAACUACGUGCCAGCAGCCGCGGUAAUACGUAGGUGGCAAGCGUUAUCCGGAUUUACUGGGUGUAAAGGGCGUGUAGGCGGGACUGCAAGUCAGAUGUGAAAAUUAUGGGCUCAACCCAUAACCUGCAUUUGAAACUGUAGUUCUUGAGUGAUGGAGAGGCAGGCGGAAUUCCGUGUGUAGCGGUGAAAUGCGUAGAUAUACGGAGGAACACCAGUGGCGAAGGCGGCCUGCUGGACAUUAACUGACGCUGAGGCGCGAAAGCGUGGGUAGCAAACAGGAUUAGAUACCCUUGUAC